Molecule: long non-coding RNA, 555 nt
Organism: Schistocerca americana (American grasshopper)
Lineage: Eukaryota; Metazoa; Arthropoda; Insecta; Orthoptera; Acrididae
Exons: 3
Source: RefSeq, a predicted model, not a curated record
CUGCAUUCUGAUUUAAUGUUUACUUACAGGACCUGUCAGCAAAUGAGUUUAGGAAGGUGCUUUUGAUAUACCAUGAAAACAAGAGCUUACACACAACACACCAGGGCCCAUCAGUUUGUCUGUGUGGCACAGCAAGUGUCACUGAACAAUGGCAGCAACACAGCCAACAUGCCACCUAUGUCUGUCCGUGUAGCUGUGUGGUUAGAGAGACUGAUAGCUACGUAGGGUCCCAGGUGCAAUUCCUUGCCAAGUCGGAGAGUCUAUCCUCUCGGGGGCUGGGUUAUGUGUUGCAUUUCAAAAUAAGGUAAAAUUGUGAUAAUGGCAAAUCACCAAAGUGGUAUCAUCUGGUGAAGACUUGCAGUAGGCAACCGAAUGGUCCUGCACAGGAUCUCCCAGACAGAAAUGCCACAUGGUCAUUUCUUUUCACUCUAGGGCUGUAGAGUAAGCAUUGAGUAGCUGUGUAUACUAUGAUGCAUUGUCAUGACUGUCACCUAGCAUGGCAAUACAGUAUGCCGCUGUAAUGGUGUCAACAGUGUUGUGUAGUUUGUCUGCUCC